GGCAGGCAUCGGAUAGCUACUCCGACUCAGGUCGGAGAGGAAAGUCCGAACACGUAGUCCCGCUUUGGUGGGAUUACACGUAGCGGGUAACGCCCGUCGUCCGCAAGGACCGAGGUGCGAACAGUGACGAACCGAUUCAGUUCGGGUGAAACGGCAAGAUCCUUACGCGCGUGCAAGAUCGUGCUCCGACCCAGGUCGGAGAGAAUCGCUUGAGUCCCUCAGCAAUGAGGGACCUAGACAAAUGGCUAUCGCUCCGACUUUGGUCGGAGCACGGAAUUCGGCUUAUAGAUGCCUGCAUAAA
This 301-nucleotide RNase P RNA is filed under the name Candidatus Nomurabacteria bacterium RIFCSPHIGHO2_01_FULL_40_12. RNAcentral's name for it is "RNase P RNA component class A". It matches the Rfam family "Bacterial RNase P class A". Rfam says of the family: Ribonuclease P (RNase P) is a ubiquitous endoribonuclease, found in archaea, bacteria and eukarya as well as chloroplasts and mitochondria. Its best characterised activity is the generation of mature 5'-ends of tRNAs by cleaving the 5'-leader elements of precursor-tRNAs. Cellular RNase Ps are ribonucleoproteins. Lineage: Bacteria; Candidatus Nomuraibacteriota. The record is from RNAcentral.